This 497-nucleotide ribosomal RNA is filed under the name uncultured bacterium. RNAcentral describes it as "partial 16S ribosomal RNA". It matches the Rfam family "Bacterial small subunit ribosomal RNA", at positions 28 to 507 of the family's 1533-position model. The record is from RNAcentral.
GAUGAACGCUGGCGGCGUGCCUAAUACAUGCAAGUCGAGCGAACAGAUAAGGAGCUUGCGCCUUUGACGUUAGCGGCGGACGGGUGAGUAACACGUGGGUAACCUACCUAUAAGACUGGGAUAACUUCGGGAAACCGGCGCUAAUACCGGAUAACAUUUGGAACCGCAUGGGUCUAAAGUGAAAGAUGGUUUUGCUAUCACUUAUCGAUGGACCCGCGCCGUUUUAGCUAGUUGGUAAGGUAACGGCUUACCAAGGCGACUAUCCGUAGCCGACCUGAGAGGCUGAUCGCCGACACGGGAACUUGGACGGGGUCAAGACGCCUGAGGGAGGCAGCAGUAGGGAACGUUCCGCAGUGGGCGGAAGCCUUGCGGAGCAACCGGGCGUGAGUGAUGGCAGGUCUCGGCUCGUAAAGCUCUGUUAUUAGGGAAGAACAAAUGUGUAAGGAGCCGUGCACGUCGUGACGGUACCUAAUCAGAAAGCCCCGGCUAACUACGUG